RNAcentral lists this long non-coding RNA (884 nucleotides) under Solanum tuberosum (potato). Its description in RNAcentral is "long non-coding RNA (STUB_LNC009691)". Lineage: Eukaryota; Viridiplantae; Streptophyta; Magnoliopsida; Solanales; Solanaceae. The record is from RNAcentral.
UGGUGGAGAAGUUACAACAGGAGGUGGGGAUGAAACUGUGGGGGGUGGUGAAGCAGUUGGUGGUGGCUGAGCCGGUGGUGUUUGGUUGUUAACUGGUGGAGGAGAACCAGUGGGUGUAGGUGGAGCUUGGGUAGCUGGUGUUGGAGGCGCUUGGGUAGUGGGUGUAGGUGGUGCUUGGUUAGUGGGUGUUGGAGGAGCCUGGUUAGUGGGUGUUGGUGGAGUCUGUGUAGGUGGUGCUUGAUUAGUAGGGGGUGCCUGUGUUGGUGGUGCCUGUGUAGGUGGUGCUUGGGUAGGGGGUGCCUGUGUUGGUGGUGCCUGCGUAGGUGGUGCUUGGUUAGUAGGGGGUGUCUGUGUUGGUGGUGCCUGUGUAGGUGGUGCUUGGGUAGGGGGUGUUGGAGGUGCUUGACCUCCAACCCCAGCGACGAUAAUGCAGAUCAUAAACCCCAACAAAACAGCAUUAUUCCUACCCAUCAUUUUGACAAUGGAGAGGAGGAAAUUAAAGGAAUGUGAAAGAAGAUAUCUGGUGCUGCUUGGGAAAAGAGAGGUUUGGGAAGGGAAUAUAUAAGAGAUUUUCUAAAAGAAGUAUGGUAUAUAUUUGAAGGUUGGAAAAGAAAGAGUAGAAAGGUGGCAAAUCCAAUUUGUAGUAACAGUGUGAGUUGUGACUACCAAAUACUUAUGGUAUGUUAUUAUCUUACGUUGGUACUAAAGAGAUAUCAACUAGCUAGGUUAGGCCUUGUAUUGCACUUUACUUUGCCAAUGCCUCUUGUUGGGGCUGUCUUUUUUUUCUCUCUACGUUGUUGGCAUAUUAAUGUAGCUCGAGGAGAAUUCAUUUUUUAUUUUUUUACUCAAUUUCAGAAAAAAUAAAAGAAUAAAUAAAAAGAGGG